GGGUUGUGAGGUUAAGCGACUAAGCGUACACGGUGGAUGCCCUGGCAGUCAGAGGCGAUGAAGGGCGUGCUAAUCUGCGAUAAGCGCCGGUAAGGUGAUAUGAACCGUUAUAACCGGCGAUACCCGAAUGGGGAAACCCAGUGUGACUCGUCACACUAUCAUUAACUGAAUCCAUAGGUUAAUGAGGCGAACCGGGGGAACUGAAACAUCUAAGUACCCCGAGGAAAAGAAAU
This 233-nucleotide ribosomal RNA is filed under the name Salmonella enterica. RNAcentral describes it as "partial 23S ribosomal RNA". It matches the Rfam family "Bacterial large subunit ribosomal RNA", at positions 1 to 225 of the family's 2925-position model. The record is from RNAcentral. RNAcentral also lists the same sequence under 1 other name. Lineage: Bacteria; Pseudomonadati; Pseudomonadota; Gammaproteobacteria; Enterobacterales; Enterobacteriaceae.